GUGUUCACUCAGGCAGCACGUGAAACAAAGCAGAGGUGAUUCAUGUGGUCCCUGUGAGCACACAAACUUGUGACACAUCCCAUAUUUUU
Molecule: small nuclear RNA, 89 nt
Filed under: Cervus elaphus hippelaphus
Lineage: Eukaryota; Metazoa; Chordata; Mammalia; Artiodactyla; Cervidae
Source: RNAcentral